This 32-nucleotide non-coding RNA is filed under the name Mus musculus (house mouse). Lineage: Eukaryota; Metazoa; Chordata; Mammalia; Rodentia; Muridae. The record is from RNAcentral.
UAGACUGGGCUGUCUCUGUCUGCAGAAACACU